AUUGAACGCUGGCGGCAGGCCUAACACAUGCAAGUCGAGCGAGCGGCGGACGGGUGAGUACUGUAUGGGGACUGCCCGUUAGCGGGGGAUAACUACUGGAAACGGUAGCUAAUACCGCAUACUAUCGGAUAACCCAUAUGGGAUUAGCUCUUAGGUGAGGUAAUGGCUCACCUAGGCGACGAUCCCUAGCUGGUCUGAGAGGAUGAUCAGCGACACGGGGACGGGGACACGUCCCAGACUCCAAGGGAGGCAGCAGUGGGGAAUAUUGCACAAUGGGCGCAAGUCUGAUGCAGUCAUGCCGAGUGUAUUAAGAAGGCCCUAGGGGUGUAAAGUACGGUCAGUCGGGAGGCGUUACCGACAGAAGAAGCACCGGCUAACUCCGUGCCAGCAGCCGCGGUAAUUC
This 403-nucleotide ribosomal RNA is filed under the name uncultured bacterium. RNAcentral describes it as "partial 16S ribosomal RNA". It matches the Rfam family "Bacterial small subunit ribosomal RNA", at positions 30 to 526 of the family's 1533-position model. The record is from RNAcentral.